UGGUGAGUAUCCCCGCCUGUC
Molecule: non-coding RNA, 21 nt
Filed under: Gallus gallus (chicken)
Lineage: Eukaryota; Metazoa; Chordata; Aves; Galliformes; Phasianidae
Also listed under: 1 other name
Source: RNAcentral